This 332-nucleotide long non-coding RNA is filed under the name Capsicum annuum. RNAcentral describes it as "long non-coding RNA (CANN_LNC014991)". The record is from RNAcentral. Lineage: Eukaryota; Viridiplantae; Streptophyta; Magnoliopsida; Solanales; Solanaceae.
AGUAGAACAAAAGGUGAAUAAUGAGUGGAAUCCAACACUAUGUAAAGUGUGUGAUAAGUAUAGUCAUUCAGCUGAUAAGUGUAGGAGGAAGAAAAAGGAAGUAGAUGAAGGUAAGAGAUAGAAGAUCCUCAAGCAAGUCCAAUAAAGAUAACUCAUCUAGGUGCUCAACAGAUUCAGGAAAAUUUGAUGGAACACAGAGGUAUUUCUGUACGAAAUGUGGUCACUAAGACAGCUUAAACCAACCAACAAGGGACUAAGUCAUCAAAUACAACUUAUUGGACUACUCCUCAGAGAAUAGGGAGAGCUCAAGUAAAACAACAACAACAACAAAU